GUUGUGCGCCAUGGAACCCAAAACUCCAGGAGAGAAGCUCAGAAGCAGAGCUGACGGGUAAGGAGGAGGCCAGGAAGAGCCAAAGCAGCUUUGUCAGCUUGCGCGCAGUCAAUUCUGCAGGGACUUCUUGUGAAAAGUGAGCAUUUGCUGUCCCGGGAAAGUCCUGCUCCAUGACUGAAAGGAAACGAUUUUUGGCAGAGUCCCUUCCUUACAACCAGGAAUGAUGCUGGGUAGCAGUAAGCAAUAAUGGAUAAACAGACUUUCAGCGAAGCCCUUCAGUGAUGCAUGGGCUACUCUGGGUUAAGCCUACCAUCCGUCAAUACGGUACGAUCUUGUAAGAGCUCAAAAGAACCGAAAAGGAAUAAAACUUCCACGCUGUC
This is a long non-coding RNA of Chinchilla lanigera (long-tailed chinchilla), 380 nucleotides long. RefSeq lists it as uncharacterized. The record is from RefSeq and is a predicted model, not a curated record. The transcript is spliced from 3 exons. NCBI's taxonomy places the organism in Eukaryota, Metazoa, Chordata, Mammalia, Rodentia, Chinchillidae.